Molecule: RNA transcript, 2699 nt
Organism: Platichthys flesus (European flounder)
Lineage: Eukaryota; Metazoa; Chordata; Actinopteri; Pleuronectiformes; Pleuronectidae
Gene: bnip2
Gene name: BCL2 interacting protein 2
Exons: 13
Source: RefSeq, a predicted model, not a curated record
CGUCAGUUACGUCGCUAGCAAAUAAUAGUGUUGUGUUGUUACGUUUCUCGUUAGACCCGGUUUGUUAAAUCCGCGGAUACUUACUGAGUCCUGAGCCCGGCUCCGUGCGGCGGCUGGGUCGCGGCUGACAGCUGUCGUGUCUUCACGGUGCGGACUGUAGCCGGCGGCAUGUGGACAACCUGAGCUUGUGAUUCGCUGCGCUAAAGUAGCUAACUGUAGCCUGUGGGCUAGCGUGCAGCGGAACAGUGCGACUGGCAGGAAGGAAGGAAGGAAGGAAGCGGAUAAGUUGGAUCACUGCGCGCCGCUGCUCAUGCGAAGCCAGCGCACUUUCUGUCCCGACUCCCCCGUGUGACGCAUGUGGACGAGGUGACUUUCCGCUUUCCCCCCCGUGUGACAUUUAGCACGGGUUUGGUUCUUUAGAAAUCGCAGUUAGAUGGCGUAGCUGGCUGUCAGCCCCCCCCCCCCUCCCCCGGCUAGCUGUACAGCGGGGAAGAGCUAGCACGCUAGCCUCAAACUUCUCGAGAAGUUGUGCAAGUCAGGUCGAGCGAUCUGACCGAUUGAAAGCGACGAGCAGGUCGCUGUUCUAAACGUGUCAUUGACGGGCUCUUUCCGCUCCUAACCCGCUCCAGUCACAGGGCAGACUCAUGGCAUCGGACGUGAUAGAGAGUGAAGUGGUGCUUAAGGGGGUAGGUGAUAUGAAUCUGAACAAUAGCAACCCAGACUGUGUCACACCCAGUACGACUCGCGACGAGCGGGUAAACAAACUGGCCUCCAGCCCCUCGUCUUCUGGGGUGUCGGGAGAAGGCAACGAGGAGGAGGUGGAGGAUUUACAAAAUAGCACGAUGCCUCCUGUCAAAAAUGGCGAAGAGGCACUCCAGGAGAGUCCAACCAAAACAAGAGGCACGCCACAGGAAAGGACGACUCCAGACAAUGAGCAGAAACAGCCUGGAGCUAGAAGCUCUACCCCAGUGAGUCUUCCCAAGCCACGUUCACCGCCCGGGCCCAUCGGAAGUCUUGAGCGCCAAGAGUCAGUCGCCACAACAGAAGCCCGCUUACGCAUGGAAGGAGUGGAACUUAAGGAGGAGUGGCAGGAUGAGGACUUUCCACGGCCCCUACCAGAGGAGGAGGAGCUCGAAGAUGAACUUUUUGCUGGGACGUCCGAGGAGAGAGACCCAGAUUAUGUAAUGGACCAUGGCAAGAAGCCAAAGAAAAAGCUUUCAGCUCCGAACAUCAGCCUGACGUUUGACCGCAGUGAGGGUUCACUUCUCUCUGAUGAGCUGGAUGAAAGUACAGAGCUUGACCUUGAUGACAUUGACACACCCUCAGACAACAGCAAUGAGUUUGAAUGGGAAGACGAUCUCCCGAAACCAAAGGCCACUGAGCUGCUUCAGAAAGGUGUGGAGUCGGUUCAGGAGUCAUCGGCCUCGGAGGAGAGGGAGGAGGGUCGACGCUGGAGGGUGUUUCGUAUCGGAGACCAGGAACACAGAGUGGACAUGAAAGCCAUUGAACCGUACAAGAGGGUUAUCAGCCAUGGAGGUUACUAUGGAGACGGUUUGAAUGCCAUAAUUGUGUUUGCUGUCUGCUUUAUGCCUGAGAGCAAUCAACCAAAUUAUAGAUACAUCAUGGACAAUUUAUUCAAGUAUGUCAUUGGCACACUGGAGCUUUUGGUUGCUGAGAACUAUAUGAUAGUGUAUUUGAAUGGAGCGACCUCUCGGAAAAAGAUGCCAACUGUCGGCUGGCUCAGAAAGUGUUAUCAGCAGAUUGAUAGGAGGUUAAGGAAGAACUUGAAGUCUUUGAUAAUUGUCCAUCCGUCUUGGUUUAUUCGGACCCUGCUGGCACUCACAAAACCUUUCAUAAGCACCAAAUUUAGUCAGAAAAUCAAGUAUGUGUAUAGCUUGACAGACCUCGCAGAGCUGGUUCCUAUGGAGUAUGUGUCCAUACCAGAUUGUAUCAAGCAGUUUGACGACGAAAAAAACAGGAAUAGCCGUAAAAGGUUUAAAAUUUGAUGUUGGCUGCAUCUCAAUUCAGGGGCUGCAUCCUUCAAAGGACGCAGUCUACCCAGCCCGCAUAGGAGGUGGUCAAGGCCAGGAUCGAACAGGACAUGCACGGCAAAGUGGAGAUGGCGGCUGCUGCUGUUCCAGAGUGACGAACCCCCACCCGUUGACACUUCGAGAGCGAUGGAUAAUGUUUUGAACGACGGCCAAUCUUAGGUUUUUGUCCUGGGCGACGUGACUGAAGACUUAAAUCGGAGCAUCGGAAAAUGCCUUUUUGAAACUGUGCUGCCUGUUACAUUGAAACCUUUUGCUGUAUUUCUGUGUCAAAUAGCUUGAUCUUCAGCAUUUUCACCACAUGCUGUCUGAAAUGUUUUUAAUCCUUUUUACUUCCUGCCGGUGUAUCAAGUCCAACUUAGUUUAUUGGUGUUCCCUAGUUACACUUUAUUUAAGGCACUCUUGUUACAAAUGGUUGAUGCAUGCUCUGCUUUAUUACAUUUAAAUAUAUAUAUUUAUAUUCAAAAGGUGACAAAGGAGAGAAAUUAAUAUAUUUUUAUGAUUGCUCUUAUUUUAAACUGCAUUUUAGGUCUCUGACCCACUGAGUGGCAUUUCUUGGAAGUUUUGAUGGCACCUUUUUCACUGUUCACUGCUGGCGUUCUCUUAUAAAAUCCUGCCUGGGGAAAAUAAAGUUUUAUUUUUUGCCCCUCA